RNAcentral lists this non-coding RNA (724 nucleotides) under Strongyloides stercoralis. Lineage: Eukaryota; Metazoa; Nematoda; Chromadorea; Rhabditida; Strongyloididae. The record is from RNAcentral.
GGAUUUUUUUUUUUAGUUUAUAGAUUUGAUUAUGGUCAUUGUAAUGAUAAAAUUGUGUUAUAUAAUUUUUAAUCACUUGAGUGGACAAUGUUUUUCUAUCCCGGCAAUGUAUUGCUUGUAUAAACUCAGUACCAGAAUAAUCGGAUAGACUGAGUAAGCUUAUACCCUAAAUGUGUUUUGGCCAAGGUUUUUUUUUUUGAUUUUUUUACAACUGUUUAGUGCAAUGUGCAGUUUUUUUUUGUUGUUUUGUCUUGGUCAAUAAGAUUAGACAAAUGACCUGGAUUAGUACCCAGUUAAUCUAAAUUUAAAAGUUGCAGGAGUAAAGUAAUAUUUAAACUGUAAUAAUAUUGGCGGAUUUUUUAAUUAUCUUUGGAGGUUGAGCUGUAAUUGAGAACCCUCAUUAUCAGCUUUGAUUUUUGUCGCAUGUAUGAUCGUUUAUGUCCUUCUUAAAGAGGUGCAUUAAAAAUUAUUUGGUGUUUAAUCAAUGAUAUUUAUUAAAACAGAUAAAUACCAUGGUAUAUAUCAAAGUUUUCGUUUGACCUACAAUAUCUUAUGUUUCGGAUAAGGAGGAGAGAUUCUUUUUUGAAGUUGUAAAAGACAGUAAAUGCUUUUUAAUGUAGCAUUGAAGUAUUUAGAGAAAUCGACAAAUCAUCCAUCAAUUGCCCACAGGGGAGUAAGUUGUAGUAAAGUAGGUGUAGGGGAAUCUGUACCUAGUUUAAGUUGG